Long non-coding RNA from Pongo pygmaeus (Bornean orangutan), 2418 nucleotides. RefSeq lists it as uncharacterized. Lineage: Eukaryota; Metazoa; Chordata; Mammalia; Primates; Hominidae. The record is from RefSeq and is a predicted model, not a curated record. The transcript is spliced from 3 exons.
AAUGCCUACUGUGUAACAAUGUCCUUUGUCUCUGACCCAGGCAUCUCUUGUCUUCUUCCAGAAACCAUGACACUAUGGCAGGCCAACUUAUUAGCUUUCAAGUAAGGUAACAUCUCAGACCAUCACAGGUUUUGAUAGAGGAAACUCUGAAGGACCACAGGAGUUGGAGGUUCCACGUAUCUCUAAGUAGUAACAUACAAUGGGUCAAAAACAGAAGAAAGAGAACUCAAGAUUCCCAAGCCACAGAGCUGUUGAUUGGAGGCUGACUCAGAGAGACCCUGGAUUCUGUGACAUACAGAGACAACAGGUGGGUGCACCAGCCCCUUUCCUUGACAGGCUCCCAGCGUUUUGUCUGUAGGUUUGCAACUUCCCAGGCAACAAAUUAAUAGAAAAAAAAAAUCUUCCAUCUGAGGAAAUUAACAAGCCAAAGUAAAAAGACCUGGAAAUACUAACAAGCAGUAUUUCUCUGAAAUUCCCAGUUUUCAUCCUAAUAUGAGGCCCAUAGAGAACUUCCAAUCAGCCAUGAGUGCUUCAUAUCUACUUAUUAAUGAGAGGCCAGUAGGGAAAUGCUCUACCAUGAAUGAUGUACUCUAAAACAAACAGAAGCAAUGUAAGACCAGAAGAAAACUUCCAGAAACUAUGGUUAAGAUCCUCCAAAAGAGAAAAAAAAAAGUUACUGGGUCAUUGAAAUAACAGGAGGAUGCUGUAAAAAAGAAACAUCCUAAGUAUUAGAAAGAUCCUUCAGAAAUUAAAAAAAAAUCAGUAGUUGGAAGGUAAAUUUGAAGGGAUUUCCCAAAAACUAGUAUAAAACCAAACAGAGAAGUCUUAUAAAAGAGAAAAGUAAUAACAUAAAAGAAUUAUCAAAGAAAUAAUACCAAAUAAUCUCAACAAUCAAACGACUUGACUUUACAUAUAGUUAAGACUUGCCUAGUCCAUGGCAUAUGAAAAGAAAAUCAGAAAUACUACCAUUUGAAAUUCCAGAAUAAAAGGGGGAAGACCUUUCUGGUUGUGGCUAAGGAUAAAGGGGGUUGGGGCAAGAAGCAGCUCACAAUCAGACUGACCUAAGGAAAGAUGGCCCAGAACUCACCCAGAAGCAGUGGAUCAAUGUUUGCACAACUCUCAGGGGAAAUUAUUUUCUACCCAUUCAACAAAGUUACCUUCCGUGCAACAUUCCUCAGAAGAUUUCUGGAGAAUAUUCUCCACCAAUGUAAAGAAGCAGAAUGACCAAGACUGGGAAGACCUGGUCGGGAACCAGGGAGUCCACCCAGGAAACAGCAGGAGGGUCUUGCAGUAUGACAGUGAGGGGUUCAGGUUGGCCGCUAUGGCAGGCAGCCCUGUGGGAAUGGGAGGGAGGGCAAUCCAAAUCUGUGGCCAUGGAGGUUGGCUAAAGCCUUCCAACCCAUGGAGAGGGCUGUGUGCUUCCAUCAGAGCUGCCAACAAAACACUACAGUGCUUGGCUGUCAGACAUUAUUUUCUUUUAAAGGGAGUUAAUCGCCUUCUGGACAAACAUAAUCUAUGCGACCUCCUCCCCAAAAGGUACAGGAUCAGUUUGGGUUUUAAUUGACGGGCUCAGCACCAAAUGACAGACUUGACACAUCCACCCCCACCAUGGAUGCUGUCCGUCCACUGUUGCACAAUGUCCUUCAGUGUCUAAUUUACAGAUCCAGCUGUAUUUCCCCUUCCACCUGCAUCCCUGAAGUUCCUCCCACCUGAAAACUUCACCUGACCCAAGAAAGCAAAGGAAAAAACCCAGAGAGCCAGCUCAUGGUCUGGUUCACUGUUUAACAGCCAGGAGCCAGAGCCUGCGUACUAGAAGUGGAUGCCCAGGAAGUACUUGUGAGCUGACUAAGAGUGUAAGAACGCCACCCACUUCAUUUAGGAAAGUGAAGCAGGAUUCCAUGCAGUGUGAAUGAGUGCACAUGGAACAAGCAGGUUAUCAUUUAUAUUCAGCAAGGGACCUCCAUGGACAGGACAUUUGGAGAGCUGCUAUCAAACAUCAGAACUUCUGACACUGUACACACAGUCUUAUAUUCUGCCUUGUCUGUUGUGAUAUCUCACUACAGUAAUGAUUAUGAUGAUGAGCACUUAUGCAUUGAUAUUGCAAUACGUCUGCAUAAGAACCAUUCCUAAGGCAGGUUAUAUUAUUACCCUCAGUGUACAGGUAAAGAGGUUAGACUGAUAACUUACCCGGUGUCACAUAGGUACUAAUGGCCAAACUAGAGUUGGAACCUGUCUGCCUACUCUCCAAGCUCAGGAUUGACUUGAGCACAAGCGUAAGUAUCUCACAUGCUUUGUAAAGUUCAGGUUGAUAACAAAAUACGUGAAAGGCAGGGGUAUAGACAACAGGGGGCAUAUGAAAUAUGGGAAGAGCCUAAAGGAAUUAAAGUCUAUUAUUUUUAAUCCACUGCUGUCAAAUGA